RNAcentral lists this unclassified non-coding RNA (184 nucleotides) under plant metagenome. RNAcentral's name for it is "partial contains small subunit ribosomal RNA and internal transcribed spacer 1". The stretch from base 1 to 46 matches the Rfam family "Eukaryotic small subunit ribosomal RNA", at positions 1786 to 1831 of the family's 1831-position model. The record is from RNAcentral.
AAGUCGUAACAAGGUUUCCGUAGGUGAACCUGCGGAAGGAUCAUUAAGAUGUCAGAGUGGGUUUCCCGCUCGCCCUCGUCAAGAGGAUACCACCUGUGAACCACCGAACCGUCCGCCUCCUCGGCGGCGGUCCAUUUUUAAGCUAUGUACGUCUGAACUGUUUUUAUUACGAAGCGAAUCAAAA